Odocoileus virginianus texanus is the source of this 456-nucleotide non-coding RNA. Lineage: Eukaryota; Metazoa; Chordata; Mammalia; Artiodactyla; Cervidae. The record is from RefSeq and is a predicted model, not a curated record.
AUGGCUCUGAAUGACUGUUUGCUUCUGAACUUGGAAGUGGACCGUUUCGUGCACUGCAACAUUUCUAAUCAUAGUGUGGAGCUCCCCAUGAAUGACGACUGGUUCCACCCAGGGAUCCUCUAUGUCAUCCCUGCAGUUUAUGGAGUCAUCAUUCUGAUAGGCCUCGUUGGCAACAUCACCCUGAUCAAGAUCUUCUGUACUGUGAAGUCCAUGCGAAACGUGCCGAACCUGUUUAUCUCCAGCCUGGCUUUGGGAGACCUGCUCCUCCUGGUAACCUGUGCGCCCGUGGAUGCCAGCAGGUACCUGGCUGACAAAUGGCUGUUUGGCAGGAUUGGCUGCAAACUGAUCCCCUUUAUCCAGCUUACCUCGGUAGGGGUGUCUGUCUUCACACUCACGGCUCUCUCGGCAGACAGGUAAGUCCUGGAGGACAGUGACAUUCUCUCCGAGGGCGGUAGA